GAUCCUGGCUCAGGAUAAACGCUGGCGGCGCACAUAAGACAUGCAAGUCGAACGGAAGUCGUUAUAAAAAGGAUUGAAGAUUUAUCUGAUUGAGAUUUUAUAACAAUGGCUUUAGUGGCGGACUGGUGAGUAACGCGUGAGCAACCUGCCUACUAGAGGGGGAUAACAGUGAGAAAUCAUUGCUAAUACCGCAUAUGCCAUGAACAUCACAUGAUGAAAAUGGGAAAAG
This 229-nucleotide ribosomal RNA is filed under the name uncultured bacterium. RNAcentral describes it as "partial 16S ribosomal RNA". It matches the Rfam family "Bacterial small subunit ribosomal RNA", at positions 15 to 207 of the family's 1533-position model. The record is from RNAcentral.